Ribosomal RNA from Hippopotamus amphibius kiboko, 153 nucleotides. RefSeq annotates it as 5.8S ribosomal RNA. The record is from RefSeq and is a predicted model, not a curated record. The transcript has a single exon. NCBI's taxonomy places the organism in Eukaryota, Metazoa, Chordata, Mammalia, Artiodactyla, Hippopotamidae.
GACUCUUGGCAGUGGAUCACUUGGCUCAUGCGUUGAUGAAGAAGGCAGCUAGCUGUGAGAAUUAACGCGAAUCACAGGACACAUUGGUCAUCAACACUUCGAAUGCAUUUGCAGCCCUGGGUUCCUCCCGGGGCUAUGCCUGCCUGAGCAUUG